RNAcentral lists this small RNA (425 nucleotides) under Pongo abelii (Sumatran orangutan). RNAcentral's name for it is "retained intron". Lineage: Eukaryota; Metazoa; Chordata; Mammalia; Primates; Hominidae. The record is from RNAcentral.
GGAGAAAGAUGGCGACAGCCGAGAAGCAGAAACACGACGGGCGGGUGAAGAUCGGCCACUACAUCCUGGGUGACACGCUGGGGGUCGGCACCUUCGGCAAAGUGAAGGUUGGCAAACAUGAAUUGACUGGGCAUAAAGUAGCUGUGAAGAUACUCAAUCGACAGAAGAUUCGGAGCCUUGAUGUGGUAGGAAAAAUCCGCAGAGAAAUUCAGAACCUCAAGCUUUUCAGGCAUCCUCAUAUAAUUAAACUGGUUUUGAAAAGUUUCUUCCUAGGCCGUGUGCGGUGGCUCACACCUGUAAUUCCAGCACUUUGGGAGGCUGAGGCAGGCGGAUCACCUGAGGUCAGGACUUCGAGACCAGCCUGGCCAACAUGGUGAAACCCUGUCUCCAGUAAAAAUACAAAAAUUAGCUGGGCAUGGUGGUGG